CCUUCCCCAUGGGUAGGAUAGUGGCCCUCCCAUGGUUUCAACGGGUAACGGGGAAUAAGGGUUCGAUUCCGGAGAGGGAGCCUGAGAAACGGCUNCCACAUCCAAGGAAGGCAGCAGGCGCGCAAAUUACCCAAUCCUAAUUCAGGGAGGUAGUGNCAAUAAAUAACGAUACAGGGCCCAUUUGGGUCUUGUAAUUGGAAUGAGUACAAUGUAAAUACCUUAACGAGGAACAAUUGGAGGGCAAGUCUGGUGCCAGCANCCGCGGUAAUUCCAGCUCCAAUAGCGUAUAUUAAAGUUGUUGCAGUUAAAAAGCUCGUAGUUGAACUUUGGGCUUGGUCAGCCGGUCCGCUUUUUUGCGUGUACUGGUCCUGACCGAGCCUUUCCUUCUGGCUAACCUGUCUCUCGGGGCAGGCGAACCAGGACUUUUACUUUGAAAAAAUUAGAGUGUUCAAAGCAGGCCUUUGCUCGAAUAUAUUAGCAUGGAAUAAUAGAAUAGGACGUUUGGUUCUAUUUUGUUGGUUUCUAGGACCAUCGUAAUGAUUAAUAGGGACGGUCGGGGGCAUCAGUAUUCAAUUGUCAGAGGUGAAAUUCUUGGAUUUAUUGAAGACUAACUACUGCGAAAGCAUUUGCCCAANGACGUUUUGGUUCCUUCCCCCAAAGGGNUUUUCAG
Molecule: ribosomal RNA, 670 nt
Filed under: Hansenula anomala
Lineage: Eukaryota; Fungi; Ascomycota; Saccharomycetes; Phaffomycetales; Wickerhamomycetaceae
Description: SSU rRNA
Rfam family: Eukaryotic small subunit ribosomal RNA
Source: RNAcentral